GACUACAUGAAGCUGGAAUCGCUAGUAAUCGCGAAUCAGAAUGUCGCGGUGAAUAUGUUCCCGGGUCUUGUACACACCGCCCGUCACACCAUGGGAGUUGGAAAUGCCCGAAGUCAGUGACCCAACCGCAAGGAGGGAGCUGCCGAAGGCAGGUCCGGUAACUGGGGUGAAGUCGUAACAAGGUAAC
This 187-nucleotide ribosomal RNA is filed under the name uncultured bacterium. Its description in RNAcentral is "partial 16S ribosomal RNA". It matches the Rfam family "Bacterial small subunit ribosomal RNA", at positions 1314 to 1500 of the family's 1533-position model. The record is from RNAcentral.